ACGGGGGGGGCAAGCGUUGUUCGGAAUUACUGGGCGUAAAGGGCUCGUAGGCGGCCAACUAAGUCAGACGUGAAAUCCCUCGGCUUAACCGGGGAACUGCGUCUGAUACUGGAUGGCUUGAAUCCGGGAGAGGGAUGCGGAAUUCCGGUGUAGCGGUGAAAUGCGUAGAGAUCGGAAGGAACACCAGUGGCGAAGGCGGCUACCUGGACAGAUACUGACGCUGAGGCGCGAGAGCGUGGGGAGCAAACAGGA
Molecule: ribosomal RNA, 252 nt
Filed under: uncultured prokaryote
Description: partial 16S ribosomal RNA
Rfam family: Bacterial small subunit ribosomal RNA
Source: RNAcentral